Non-coding RNA from Python bivittatus (Burmese python), 146 nucleotides. NCBI's taxonomy places the organism in Eukaryota, Metazoa, Chordata, Lepidosauria, Squamata, Pythonidae. The record is from RefSeq and is a predicted model, not a curated record.
UUGCUGCCUACCAACAAAGAUAAAGAAUCCUUUGACUCAAUAAAGGUUUAUCAAGAUAAUAAAUUAUACGAGAAACACAAUGCAGAAAAAGAUCUUUAAACUAUCGAGGAUGACUAUAAAAAACUGGAAGAAGAGCUGCAGAAAUU